Molecule: ribosomal RNA, 426 nt
Filed under: uncultured bacterium
Lineage: Bacteria
Description: bacterial SSU rRNA
Rfam family: Bacterial small subunit ribosomal RNA
Source: RNAcentral
GGAGGAUCCGAGCGUUAUCCGGAUUUAUUGGGUUUAAAGGGAGCGUAGAUGGAUGUUUAAGUCAGUUGUGAAAGUUUGCGGCUCAACCGUAAAAUUGCAGUUGAUACUGGAUGUCUUGAGUGCAGUUGAGGCAGGCGGAAUUCGUGGUGUAGCGGUGAAAUGCUUAGAUAUCACGAAGAACUCCGAUUGCGAAGGCAGCCUGCUAAGCUGCAACUGACAUUGAGGCUCGAAAGUGUGGGUAUCAAACAGGAUUAGAUACCCUGGUAGUCCACACGGUAAACGAUGAAUACUCGCUGUUUGCGAUAUACGGCAAGCGGCCAAGCGAAAGCGUUAAGUAUUCCACCUGGGGAGUACGCCGGCAACGGUGAAACUCAAAGGAAUUGACGGCCGUCAAUUCCUUUGAGUUUGGUAUUACCGCGGCUGCUG